RNAcentral lists this ribosomal RNA (460 nucleotides) under uncultured bacterium. RNAcentral describes it as "partial 16S ribosomal RNA". It matches the Rfam family "Bacterial small subunit ribosomal RNA", at positions 338 to 795 of the family's 1533-position model. The record is from RNAcentral.
CCUACGGGAGGCAGCAGUGAGGAAUAUUGGUCAAUGGGCUUACGCCUGAACCAGCCAAGUCGCGUGAGGGAAGACUGCCCUAUGGGUUGUAAACCUCUUUUGUCAGGGAGCAACGCCGGCUACGUGUAGCCGGACUGAGAGUACCUGAAGAAAAAGCAUCGGCUAACUCCGUGCCAGCAGCCGCGGUAAUACGGAGGAUGCGAGCUUUAUCCGGAUUUAUUGGGGUUAAAGGGUGCGUAGGCGGAAUGCCAAGUCAGCGGUAAAAUCGCGGGGUUCAACCUCGCUCCGCCGUUGAAACUGGCGUUCUUGAGUGGGCGAGAAGUAUGCGGAAUGCGUGGUGUAGCGGUGAAAUGCAUAGAUAUCACGCAGAACUCCGAGUGCGAAGGAAGCAUACCGGCGCCCAACUGACGCUGAAGCACGAAAGCGUGGGGAUCGAACAGGAUUAGAUACCCCAGUAGUC